AUUUAGCCCUGAUUGAGCGGUAUGUUUGAGCUCUUUUCUAUUUUCGGCGGCGGCAAGGCCGCCGCCGAAAAUAGAAAAAGCGAGUAGCGAAAGCAGGAAAAAGC
Molecule: unclassified non-coding RNA, 104 nt
Filed under: Chryseobacterium taichungense
Lineage: Bacteria; Pseudomonadati; Bacteroidota; Flavobacteriia; Flavobacteriales; Weeksellaceae
Description: Flavo-1 RNA
Source: RNAcentral